This 635-nucleotide ribosomal RNA is filed under the name Penicillium biourgeianum. RNAcentral's name for it is "eukaryotic LSU rRNA". It matches the Rfam family "Eukaryotic large subunit ribosomal RNA", at positions 1 to 649 of the family's 3401-position model. The record is from RNAcentral. Lineage: Eukaryota; Fungi; Ascomycota; Eurotiomycetes; Eurotiales; Aspergillaceae.
UGACCUCGGAUCAGGUAGGGAUACCCGCUGAACUUAAGCAUAUCAAUAAGCGGAGGAAAAGAAACCAACAGGGAUUACCUCAGUAACGGCGAGUGAAGCGGUAAGAGCUCAAAUUUGAAAGCUGGCUCCUUCGGGGUCCGCAUUGUAAUUUGCAGAGGAUGCUUCGGGAGCGGUCCCCAUCUAAGUGCCCUGGAACGGGACGUCAUAGAGGGUGAGAAUCCCGUAUGGGAUGGGGUGUCCGCGCCCGUGUGAAGCUCCUUCGACGAGUCGAGUUGUUUGGGAAUGCAGCUCUAAAUGGGUGGUAAAUUUCAUCUAAAGCUAAAUAUUGGCCGGAGACCGAUAGCGCACAAGUAGAGUGAUCGAAAGAUGAAAAGCACUUUGAAAAGAGAGUUAAAAAGCACGUGAAAUUGUUGAAAGGGAAGCGCUUGCGACCAGACUCGCUCGCGGGGUUCAGCCGGCAUUCGUGCCGGUGUACUUCCCCGCGAGCGGGCCAACGUCGGUUUGGGCGGUCAGUCAAAGGCCCCUGGAAGGUAACGCCCCCUCGGGGGCGUCUUAUAGCCAGGGGUGCAAUGUGGCCUGCCUGGACCGAGGAACGCGCUUCGGCUCGGACGUUGGCAUAAUGGUCGUAAGCGACC